CCCAACACAGUCUCAAGCUUAAAUAGAUGAAUAGCAUCAAUUGACAAAACGGCUUAAAUAGAUAAUAAUCAUCAAUCCAAGGGAAACUCCAUAACUAUCCAAAUUCAAUACGUUUUGCACACCCGCGAAAAGUUAACAUGGCGGAAAAACGACCAAAACCGUGUAAAAAGAAGAAAUCCGAGACUCUGGAGAAAGUUCUGAAUGAUGGUUUAGCCUUGUUGG
Molecule: long non-coding RNA, 222 nt
Organism: Xenia sp. Carnegie-2017
Lineage: Eukaryota; Metazoa; Cnidaria; Anthozoa; Malacalcyonacea; Xeniidae
Exons: 2
Source: RefSeq, a predicted model, not a curated record